AACGCGAAGAACCUUACCUGGGCUUGACAUGCACCAGAUCGGCGUAGAGAUACGUCCUCCCUUGUGGUUGGUGCACAGGUGGUGCAUGGUUGUCGUCAGCUCGUGUCGUGAGAUGUUGGGUUAAGUCCCGCAACGAGCGCAACCCUUGUCUUAUGUUGCCAGCACAUUUUUGGUGGGGACUCAUGAGAAACUGCCGGGGUCAACUCGGAGGAAGGUGGGGAUGACGUCAAAUCAUCAUGCCCUUUAUACCCAGGGCUUCACACAUGCUACAAUGGUCGGUACAACGGGUUGCGACACUGUGAAGUGAAGCUAAUCUCUCAAAGCCGGCCUCAGUUCGGAUUGGGGUCUGCAACUCGACCCCAUGAAGUCGGAGUCGCUAGUAAUCGCAGAUCAGCAACGC
Molecule: ribosomal RNA, 400 nt
Filed under: uncultured Corynebacterium sp.
Lineage: Bacteria; Bacillati; Actinomycetota; Actinomycetes; Mycobacteriales; Corynebacteriaceae
Description: bacterial SSU rRNA
Rfam family: Bacterial small subunit ribosomal RNA
Source: RNAcentral